CCUACGGGAGGCAGCAGUGGGGAAUAUUGGGCAAUGGGCGCAAGCCUGACCCAGCAACGCCGCGUGAAGGAAGAAGGCUUUCGGGUUGUAAACUUCUUUUCUCAGGGACGAAGAAAGUGACGGUACUUGAGGAAUAAGCCACGGCUAACUACGUGCCAGCAGCCGCGGUAAUACGUAGGUGGCAAGCGUUAUCCGGAUUUAUUGGGUGUAAAGGGCGGGUAGGCGGGAGCGCAAGUCAGAUGUGAAAACUCAGGGCUCAACCCUGGGCCUGCAUUUGAAACUGGGUUUCUUGAGUGCUGGAGAGGCAAGCGGAAUUCGGGGUGUAGCGGUGAAAUGCGUAGAUAUACGGAGGAACACCGGUGGCGAAGGCAGAUUGCUGGACAGUAACUGACGCUGAGGCGCGAAAGCGUGGGGAGCAAACAGGAUUAGAUACCCUUGUAGUC
RNAcentral lists this ribosomal RNA (443 nucleotides) under uncultured bacterium. RNAcentral's name for it is "partial 16S ribosomal RNA". It matches the Rfam family "Bacterial small subunit ribosomal RNA", at positions 338 to 795 of the family's 1533-position model. The record is from RNAcentral.